This 443-nucleotide ribosomal RNA is filed under the name uncultured bacterium. RNAcentral describes it as "partial 16S ribosomal RNA". It matches the Rfam family "Bacterial small subunit ribosomal RNA", at positions 338 to 795 of the family's 1533-position model. The record is from RNAcentral.
CCUACGGGUGGCAGCAGUGGGGAAUAUUGGGCAAUGGGGGCAACUCUGACCCAGCCACGCCGCGUGAAGGAUGAAGGCCUUAGGGUUGUUAACUUAUGUUGUAAAGGAAGAAAAGAAUGAUGGUACUUUACAAUAAAGCCUCGGCUAACUAUGUGCCAGCAGCCGCGCUAAGACAUAGGGGGCAAGCGUUGUUCGGAAUUACUGGGCGUAAAGGGAGCGUAGGCGGGAGAUUAAGUUAAGAGUGAAAGCCUUGGGCUCAACCCAAGCAAUGCUCUGAAUACUGGUUUUCUAGAGUGUGGGGGAGGGAAGUGGAAUUCCUGGUGUAGCGGUAGAAUGCGUAGAGAUGAGGAGGAACAUCAGAGGCGAAGGCGGCUUACUGGACCAUAACUGACGCUGAGGCUCGAAAGCGUGGGGAGCAAACAGGAUUAGAUACCCCUGUAGUC